RNAcentral lists this unclassified non-coding RNA (250 nucleotides) under Cladorrhinum sp. RNAcentral's name for it is "partial internal transcribed spacer region". The stretch from base 1 to 46 matches the Rfam family "Eukaryotic small subunit ribosomal RNA", at positions 1786 to 1831 of the family's 1831-position model. Lineage: Eukaryota; Fungi; Ascomycota; Sordariomycetes; Sordariales; Podosporaceae. The record is from RNAcentral.
AAGUCGUAACAAGGUCUCCGUUGGUGAACCAGCGGAGGGAUCAUUACAGAGUUGCAAAACUCCCUAAACCAUCGUGAACCUACCGCUAAACAGUUGCUUCGGCGGGUGGCGGGCGUGCCCCCCCCAGGGGGGAAAGCCCGCCGCCGAGCCCGCCGGAGGAAAACCAAAACUCUUGUUUUUACUACCGGCCUCUCUGAGUAUACUUACUUAAAAUAAGUCAAAACUUUCAACAACGGAUCUCUUGGUUCUG